This is a long non-coding RNA of Peromyscus leucopus (white-footed mouse), 5798 nucleotides long. RefSeq lists it as uncharacterized. The transcript is spliced from 2 exons. The record is from RefSeq and is a predicted model, not a curated record. NCBI's taxonomy places the organism in Eukaryota, Metazoa, Chordata, Mammalia, Rodentia, Cricetidae.
UGAACUCAGGACCUCUGGAAGAGCAGUCAGUGUUCUUAACCGCUGAGCCAUCUCUCCAGCCCCACAGUUGAAUUUUUAACUCUGGGUCCCCCUCUCCCCCUGGACUCGAAAUAAACACAGUACUCUUUUGCAGGAAGUUCCUAUAGUCACAAGUGGGAAACAACCGGUGGUCUCUAGCGAGCUGUGUUGCUGCUAAGUGACGACGUUAAAGGUAGCAAGUGCCCUUUCCCCCGCUACCUGGCAUGUAGCAUAUCACGACUUACUGGAAAUGGUUCGUGAUACAUCAAGGAGCAUCCACGAUUUAAACUGGGGGUGAGGAAGCUGUCACCCAAGGGCUUUCUGAGGAAAUCCUAAAGUGGCAUCUAGAAGGAGUGAGUAGGGAGGGCGGGGACAUGACCUGAGGAUGUACUGGGAACGCAGGCAGAGCAACCGGAGAGGACAAGAGCAUGUCCACCCACGCCAAGGCCGAAGGGCCACGCUUUGGGAACAGGAAGAGAGACAAAACGGGCAAGGUCCAGACACCUGGUACCCAGGGACCUCCCUCUUCAGAAGGGAUCCUGGAUACCGAGAUCUCAGCCACACCCAGGCUGAUACCUCGACUUUAGGAACCCCAGCCAAGCGCUCACGGACCACGGACUCCUCCUCACUGACUGAAUCCGAUUUGCUUAGGCCCUUCCUCAAAGCCUGAAGGAGAACCACAUGUGAUAGAGUGUGCUGGGCAGCGGUAAGAAGAUAGAGUGUCAACUACCCGUCUGUGCAUCCCGUGCUGUGUCUGGGACCCAUUUCUCCAGUGAACGCUGCUAAGCACCUGUUGUAUGCCCCGCACUCACGUCACAGUUAGAGCAUGUGAGGAGGGCCACAAAGGACAAGCCCACCCUGUCCUUGUCCUGCUGUUCCAAGUACUGUAGAGGGCGGAUAGGUUGGCACGCCACCCCCUCGGGCAGGCUCACCUGCCACCUCUCCUGUUUAUUCACCUCCCUAAUCACCCUGGGGUUGGCCAGGUUGGCACAGGACCACCAUGAAUGCUAUUAUGAGGAUGCUCGUUGCUGGGAACCCGUACCAACUUGGAAAAGCGGAUGGGGUAAGCACCAGCCAGAGCCUCUUUGUUGUUCAGGGAAAAAAAGGCAUUUUCCGUUAGCCCUGUCACCUGGUGGGCGGCACAGUCCCUUUAUUUCAUCAUCAGAGGAAUGGAGGAUUGGGAUAGGAAGAGUAUUAGAUGCCCCAGCUCACUCAGUCCAUCCAGCACACUGUUCUGGGGGGAGUUGAGUUCCUCCUGUCCAGGGCCCCUACCACUCCAGGGUUAUACAAAGUAAGGUCUCUGGGGGUCAGUGGACCCAGAGCUGGGGUUGAGAAGAACACAUAAUAAAUAAAUAAAUAAAUAAAUAAAUAAAUAAAUAAAUAAAUAUUUUAGAAAACUGCCCUUUCCAAUUCAAACCGGUUCAGUUCAGCUCCCCGAUUCUGUGUUAUCUCCAGCAAGGAGCUUGAUCUCUCUGAGCCUCAGUUGCUUCGUCUGGGAAAUGGGGAAGCACAGCAUUUUCUGCCUCGUCGGAAGAUUCCGGAGAUUAGUAAUGAUAGCCGUCACGUCUCUGGUGCUGACACCAAGCCAGGCACCCGGGGCUUCUCAUGAGGUCAUGUGUGGAAGCCCUGGCCUCUGGCCAGCCAGGAGUCAAGCCCCAUCACGGGAGGCACGGUUCAGUUUCACAAUAGCGCUGGUGCUCAGCGCAUGUGGUUAACGUUUAACAGUGGAAGAAGUUUAGCAAGCCCUAGGCACAUAGUAAGCGCUCGAUAAAUGGCCUUCAUUAUAAGCCAGAGAAUGGGGACCUGUGUGUGGAAGUCCCAUGACAAAGAAUGUGGAGAGGUAGGCGGCCCAAGGUGAUGCUUCCGUCUAUUUCUUUCUCCCCAGGAGGGCCAGCCCUGUGUGUGUUAGCCAGCUCCCCAGGCUGGGACGUCAGUUCUUACUCACUCUCCCCAGGGAGAAGCUUAAUUAGCCUCCCAGCAGCCAGGAGCACCCCAGAUGAAAGGGGCUGAAUGCAUGGGGUGCUGGAAAUAGAGCACAUCAGACAGGAGGGUUCGCUCGGCUGCACGACACACCCCAGGCACAAGAAGAAGAGAUAAGAACUCCAGUGCCUAGCAGUCUCUGCUCACCAUGACGAGGACGAAAGUCACAUGUCAGAUGCAGAGGUCACAAGCGCGUCACUUCUCCACAUGAUACCCUGGACCAAAAAAAAAAAAAGAUCAGCUGCUGAGGCAGGGAAAGCUGACGUGGGCAGACUCAGAGACAGGGUUGAGGGUCCAGGUUUGUAGCAUGGGAAACUUUUUUUUUACCCUCAGAGCUGAGGACUGAACCCAGGGCCUUGCACUUGCUAGGCAAGCGCUCUACCACUGAGCUAAAUCCCCAACCCCCAAGCAUGAGAAUCUUGAUCCACAUCUGGCAAAGCAGAUGUGGCAGUCCCCUCUGCCUCUGGCAGUCUGGUCCAGUGAGGCCAAGAGCUGCGUAACCACCAUGUCCCUGCCUAGGGUCUGGGAAUUCAUUCAUUCAUUCAUUCAUUCACUCACUCACUCAUUGCCAGUCACUCUACUGGGCAACAAGGAUAGAAAGAUUGAGCGUAAUAACAAAUCCAGAGUCCCUGUGCUUAAAGUAGAGCAAGGCUGAGGACCUGACUCUGGGAGAGCACUCGACAGCGUGUGAGCAAGCUGGGUUUGACCCUCGGACUGCCAAAAAGAAAUAGCUAAGUAUUAAAGUGGCCUGAGGGCCAGACCAGCAAUGGCCACGUGUCAUCAGCAAGGCCAGGGGAAGUACCCAACCUGUGGGCAGUGGUAGCCAGAGGGUGGGGACAGAGUGCGCAGAUGCAUCCCACAACCCCACCCCACCCUCCGUCUCGAUCAGUCUGUCUCCACCAAAGCGGGCUUCCUGGUGAAGCAGGCCAAUAACAAGAGCCUGGCACCUCUACCCGCACCUGUGUCUGGUGCAGGCAAGUGGCGUUGUCCAGCCAAGGAGUCAGAGAAGGGAAGAGGGCACCCCUCCCCCACACACACUGCAUCACCAGGGACCCAUGGCGUCAUUCCAGGAGACAGUAUGGGGUGCUGGGCUGAGCUGAAUGGCAGGGGGGCUUUCUCGGGACAAACACUGCCCCCAGCAUUGUGCCACCCCCUCAUAACAGAGCGCUUCCUAGAUUCCAGGCAUGUAUUUCUUAAACCACUAAGAUGUUGCCAAAGACUUUCCCAAGGCCACAGGGCUAGUGUGCAGAGGAUUUGUACUGUGCUCUGACUCACCCCAGAAUUUACACACACAGUUCGACAUAUCCCCCAAGCAAGGCAGCAUUUAUUUUCCUAGAGGAGCCCACAAUGGUCCCCUGUGUACCAAGCAGGCUCCUAGUCAGGCAGGCUGCAGAGAAGUGAGGGACGAAAUCAUCCAACACAGAGUCCCCACCUCAGCCAUGCUCCAUCCAGCCUCUCUCCCUCCCCUGCCCGGUCUCAGCCGGCUGGUCCACAGGCAAGAAGUCCUUCCUGCCUCCGGGAAAGCCACAGAGGAGCUGGAGGGAGCUGUCCCCACUAGGUCCAAGUGAGUAGACUUGGACCUGGAGAAGGAAGAGAACUGGAUGAGAAUUCUAGGUCCUGGUGGUCCAUGGGCCUCAGCUAGGAGCAAAAUGAUCCCUUCAAGCCUGUUCACACCUCCUCCGGCAGCUGUCCUGAGGAACUGCCUUGGUGGAGAUCUGAGGGAGCAAGCUAGGUCUUGCUCCAGGUACCUUGACUGACCUGAGGAAGCCCCAGAUGCCCUUCAGGGAAUCAGGCAGAGGGAAAGGGGUGCAUGCGUGGGAAGGUGGCUGAUUAUCAUCUUCCAUUUCAGGGGUGGGGCGCGGCCACCUGCCUGGCAAAUAUAGCCUUGUUGUUUGGCAGGGAUGAGCCCCUGCCUGUCUCAGGCUCGCCAAGGGUCAGACAGGGUAACAGGUCUCUGAGAGCCCACCAACCUGAGCUUCAUUGUCUGGGUUCCGGCUAAAACACUUCACACGCAUCAAUUCUGAAGCCAGUCUUGAAAUUCACUCUGGGAUGAGGACACUGAGGCCCAGAGAGAUUUGAGAAAUGUGCCCAUGGCCGUAUGGUCAAUCGGGAUGUGUGUUCGGUGCCUCUGACUCCAAAAGUUCUGUCUUUAAUGCCCACUUAGGGCUUUUCUGUUGACUGUGCCCAACAGCAGAAUCAGCAACAGAGACGUCGUAUGAAGGAGGUAGUAGAUGCAUGAACUUUUUCCCAGUACCCAAGCUGAUGAGUAAGUGUAUCAGUGAGUGGAGACGUGGAUCGGUGUGUGGAGAAGUGGGCCAGUGAGAAGAGGAGGAGUACAUCAGUGAGUGGAGACGUGGAUCAGUGAGUGGCUGAGUGGACCAGACACUGGAUGAGUGGGUCAAUGAGUGGAUAGUUAUAUCAGUGAGUGGCUGAGUGGACCAGUCACCGGAUGAGUGCAUUGGUGCACAGAUGAGUGGGUCAGUGAAUGGAUGGGUGUAUCGGGGCGUGCAUCAGUGAAUGGGCAAGUGAGCCAUAGUCAGGUGGUCAGGAGUAUGGGGAUGGUGAUUGAAUACGUGAAUACGUAGGAGAGCGGGGUGGUAGACAGGUAGCAGGUGGAUAAAUGGCCUGGCUAGAGGCAGACACGGUGGCUGUUCUGUUAAAUGGCUUUCUGGAGAGAUGCAAGAAGGAAUGUGGCUUCUGAGAAAUAGGGUGACUCUUUGGGAUGCUGGCACAGCAGGAAGAGUACCCCCCAGAUCUCCCUCCCUGGAAGGAAGCCUUCAGAAAACCAUACUCGGGGGGCCCCAGGACCCUGUCUGCUAUGGCCGCCCAGUGACUGGCUAGGUCAAUCAUUGAUGGAUCUUUGAGAGCUUCAUUGCUUAAGAGGACCCUGGGAUUGACCUGCUGACCCCUGGCAGGGAGGAAAAGAGGAAGGAGAGAGAGGUGGGGACAGGGUGGUCAAGAGGCCCUAGUUGCUGACCUUGGAAGGCAGGGAGGCCUGGUCUGGGUCUUAGGGGGGAUUUACUGCCCCAGCCCUAUUUAUAUAAGAAAGAGGAUACAAGGUGGUAUGGAAAUAGUUGACCAAAGGGAUCAUUGGUAUAACCAGGAAGUUCCACUGGGUCUUUCCCUUCUGGGUUAAGGUCUCACUUAGAUCUAGACUAGGGGGUGAGGUAGACUGGACUGGUCUCAGGUGUGGAGCUACCCUGGCAAAUGUGGGCAAGAAGGAGGCUAUUGUUUAGAUGUAGUUCUGUGUGUCAGGAACCUGGGAGGAGAGGUGAUCAGGGGCCUAUGAGUCCAUCCUAACACCUUCUGUGAGAAACACAGGGAAAGUCACCUGGCUAACUCCAGGUUGAUUGUGGGAGUUAAAGUGCACACAGAGAAACCCCUCAUCCCCCCAGCCAGACCCAGGCAACUCUCUGGAGGAAACUGAGGCAAGCCAGGGGAAGGUACUAGCCAGUGAGUCUCUGAAGGGCAAAUUCCAAAUUCCGUUCAGCCCUGAGACAAAGAAUGACAAGAGAAUCCUAGAGGGGAGUGAGAAUGCCUUCCAAAGACGCUUCGAGAUGCUUUAGCUAGGCUACACAGCCAAAUACCAGAAGACAGGUUAACAGGAGAAAAAUCGUAUUCAAUCUGAUGUUUGCACACAGUCACACAAAAACAGGAGACUUGAGCAACAAAGUCACAUGACUUGAGUUUACAUGGCAACCUGAGCUCAGACAGGAAUCAGGAUACGGGGCAUCUGGGAGGCCACUGGCAUACUGCAGAGGACAGAGGCAGAACUGCCAUGUGAGCAGUGCUUGUCUUGC